CCAAAGGGCGCUGGCGGAUGCCGGCUGAGAUGGGCGAUACUCUUCGUCCGGUCCCUCGAACCUGAUCCGGGUAAUGCCGGCGUAGGAAUGCGAAUG
Molecule: non-coding RNA, 96 nt
Filed under: uncultured Dysosmobacter sp.
Lineage: Bacteria; Bacillati; Bacillota; Clostridia; Eubacteriales; Oscillospiraceae
Description: TPP riboswitch (THI element)
Rfam family: TPP riboswitch aptamer (THI element)
About the family: Vitamin B(1) in its active form thiamin pyrophosphate (TPP) is an essential coenzyme that is synthesised by coupling of pyrimidine and thiazole moieties in bacteria. The previously detected thiamin-regulatory element, thi box was extended, resulting in a new, highly conserved RNA secondary structure, the THI element, which is widely distributed in eubacteria and also occurs in some archaea.
Source: RNAcentral